RNAcentral lists this ribosomal RNA (824 nucleotides) under uncultured marine group I thaumarchaeote. Its description in RNAcentral is "SSU rRNA". It matches the Rfam family "Archaeal small subunit ribosomal RNA", at positions 23 to 859 of the family's 1478-position model. Lineage: Archaea; Thermoproteati; Nitrososphaerota. The record is from RNAcentral.
CUGACUGCUAUCGGAUGAUACUAGCCAUGCGAGUCUUGUAGUAUACAGGCAGACGGCUCAGUAACACGUAGUCAACUACCCUAUGGACGAGAAUAAUCUCGGGAAACUGAGCAUAAUUCUUGAUAGAUCAUAAUGCCUGGAAUGGUUUAUGGUUAAAAUGAUUCGUCGCCAUAGGAUGGGACUGCGGCCUAUCAGCUUGUUGGUGAGGUAAUGGCCCACCAAGGCGAUUACAGGUACGGGCUCUGAGAGGAGAAGCCCGGAGAUGGGUACUGAGACACGGACCCAGGCCCUAUGGGGCGCAGCAGGCGAGAAAACUUUGCAAUGUGCGAAAGCACGACAAGGUUAAUCCGAGUGAUUUCUGCUAAAGGAACCUUUUGCCAGUCGUAAAACCACUGGUGAAUAAGGGGUGGGCAAGUUCUGGUGUCAGCCGCCGCGGUAAAACCAGCACCUCAAGUGGUCAGGAUGAUUAUUGGGCCUAAAGCAUCCGUAGCCUGCUCUGUAAGUUUUCGGUUAAAUCUGUAUGCUCAACAUACAGGCCGCCGGGAAUACUGCAGGGCUAGGGAGUGGGAGAGGUAGACGGUACUCGGGAGGAAGUGGUAAAAUGCUUUGAUCUCUCGAUGACCACCUGUGGCGAAGGCGGUCUACCAGAACACGUCCGACGGUGAGGGAUGAAAGCUGGGGGAGCAAACCGGAUUAGAUACCCGGGUAGUCCCAGCCGUAAACUAUGCAAACUCAGUGAUGCAUUGGCUUGUGGCCAAUGCAGUGUUGCAGGGAAGCCGUUAAGUUUGCCGCCUGGGAAGUACGUACGCAAGUAUGAAACUUAA